This is a non-coding RNA of Caerostris darwini, 95 nucleotides long. The record is from the annotation of a GenBank genome assembly. Lineage: Eukaryota; Metazoa; Arthropoda; Arachnida; Araneae; Araneidae.
ACGGCCAUACCAUGCUGAAUAUACCGGUUCUCGUUAGAUCACCGAAGUCAAGCAUCAUUUGGCGGGUGACCACCUGGGAACACCGCGUGCCGUUG